CUGUGUGAAAAGUUGUACAACAUGAAGUCUCUUGUGCUCUUGAUAAAGGCAACAAGCGAGGACCUUUCCAAUGCAUGCAAGGAUGGAAAGAUGAGCUGUUGCAGAAGCACCUAAUUAAGGGGGUGCGACCGCCGAUAAAAGGCGAAAACACCAAAGAGAGUUGGUGUGGGUGGAGCUAUCAAGCAGAAAGGCAUAGAAGCUCCAAACAUAGAAAAUGAGAUGGAGGAUUGCGAAGAGUGCACCGCAACUCUCUCUUUCUAUGUGAUCAGUGGCAGUGAUCUCUUCCAAGUCCACAUGGUGGUAGAGAAUCUUGGAGUCACUGGAGACAUCCCCGAUGAAGGAGGAUGUGACCGCUUCAUGACAGGCAGAGACACCUCGGAUGGAAGGUGUAAGGACCAUGAUAUGAGUCCAAGUUCAGACCGUCUCAUGACGACAGGCGGAGACACCUCAGGAGAAGGUGUGAGGACCAUGAUAUGAGUCCAAGUUCAGACCGUCUCAUGACGACAGGCGGAGACACCUCAGGAGAAGGUGUGAGGACCAUGAUAUGAGUCCAAGUUCAGAC
This 562-nucleotide long non-coding RNA is filed under the name Populus trichocarpa (black cottonwood). RNAcentral describes it as "long non-coding RNA (PTRI_LNC002171)". Lineage: Eukaryota; Viridiplantae; Streptophyta; Magnoliopsida; Malpighiales; Salicaceae. The record is from RNAcentral.